Molecule: ribosomal RNA, 446 nt
Filed under: uncultured bacterium
Lineage: Bacteria
Description: partial 16S ribosomal RNA
Rfam family: Bacterial small subunit ribosomal RNA
Source: RNAcentral
CCUACGGGCGGCUGCAGUCGAGAAUCAUUCACAAUGGGGGAAACCCUGAUGGUGCGACGCCGCGUGGGGGAAUGAAGGUCUUCGGAUUGUAAACCCCUGUCAUGUGGGAGCAAAUUAAAAAGAUAGUACCACAAGAGGAAGAGACGGCUAACCCGGUCCCAGCAGCCGCGGUAAUACAGAGGUCUCAAGCGUUGUUCGGAAUCACUGGGCGUAAAGGGUGCGUAGGCGGUUUCGUAAGUCGUGUGUGAAAGGCGCGGGCUCAACCCGCGGACGGCACAUGAUACUGCGGGACUAGAGUAAUGGAGGGGGAACCGGAAUUCUCGGUGUAGCAGUGAAAUGCGUAGAUAUCGAGAGGAACACUCGUGGCGAAGGCGGGUUCCUGGACAUUAACUGACGCUGAGGCACGAAGGCCAGGGGAGCGAAAGGGAUUAGAUACCCUUGUAGUC